Molecule: long non-coding RNA, 399 nt
Filed under: Struthio camelus australis
Lineage: Eukaryota; Metazoa; Chordata; Aves; Struthioniformes; Struthionidae
Description: lncRNA (ENSSCUG00000006122.1)
Source: RNAcentral
AUGCGAGCUGUGAGUUUUCAGUCAAAAAAAGAAGACCUUGGAGCCUUCCAAUACAGGAAAUGUCAAUGCAAAAGGAGUCCCCAUUUUCUGCGAGUGCGUUGGUGGAUUGGAAAGACAAAGCAGUUACCAAUUAGACUAAAGCAGAGCUUCAGGUCAUGUGGAUCAAGGAAAUUUCUAAGAAAAAAAAUGGAAUGGGGAAAGAAGGCAAUUAUCAAAAGGAGAAAAAUAAAAAUGAAUUUAAUACAUGCUUCGUUUCAAAACUAUGAACUGGAGAGGGCUUUUAUAUCUCCACAUAACAGCAAGCAGUUGUUCUAUGGAAGAUGCAAGAACCAAAAAAAAAAGGAAAAGAAAAGAAAAUCAGCUCUGCAGGAUAGAGCAGCUGAGGGGAACUUGCAUUGA